UACGUAGGGGGCGAGCGUUGUCCGGAGUUACUGGGCGUAAAGCGCACGCAGGCGGUCCAGCGCGUGUGGGGUGACAGUGGUCGGCUUAACCGACUAAGUGCCUUACAGACGGCUGCGACUUGAGGGCCACAGAGGGACAUGGAACUCCAGGUGUAGUGGUGAAAUGCGUAGAUAUCUGGAAGAACACCAAAGGCGAAGGCAGUGUCCUGGGUGGUACCUGACGCUGAUGUGCGAAAGCCAGGGGAGCGAACGGG
This 254-nucleotide ribosomal RNA is filed under the name uncultured prokaryote. RNAcentral's name for it is "partial 16S ribosomal RNA". It matches the Rfam family "Bacterial small subunit ribosomal RNA", at positions 524 to 776 of the family's 1533-position model. The record is from RNAcentral.